UACGUAGGGCGCAAGCGUUGUCCGGAAUUAUUGGGCGUAAAGAGCUCGUAGGCGGUUUGUCGCGUCUGUCGUGAAAGCUUGGGGCUUAACCCCGGGUCUGCAUCCGAUACGGGCAGGCUAGAGUGUGGUAGGGGAGAUCGGAAUUCCUGGUGUAGCGGUGAAAUGCGCAGAUAUCAGGAGGAACACCGGUGGCGAAGGCGGAUCUCUGGGCCAUUACUGACGCUGAGGAGCGAAAGCGUGGGGAGCGAACAGG
RNAcentral lists this ribosomal RNA (253 nucleotides) under uncultured bacterium. RNAcentral describes it as "partial 16S ribosomal RNA". It matches the Rfam family "Bacterial small subunit ribosomal RNA", at positions 524 to 776 of the family's 1533-position model. The record is from RNAcentral.